CAGUUCGUUGUGCCUAUUGAAUGGGUAGCAUCACUCGGUGGUCAACACCACUGACUUUGGUAUGGCAGGAUCGGGGUUCACUUCCCCUUUCAAGGCACGAAUUCCAGCCGUGGGUCCUUAGGCAAGGCCCUUAAUGCCAACUGCCUAAUGAGGCUCAGGCUUGCUGGUUUCAGGAUUCACAUGAGUAAAAAAGCCAGUCAGAGUAAUUAAUCAAAACAUCAUGACUCCAUGGCAUUAGCAGCGAAAUAUACCUAAAUUACCAAAGAUCCUGAUUCUUCAAAUGGCAAAAACAAGGCAUCCAUGGCUCUGGGGUUCAUCCUUGAAGCUGCAAAGAAACCUGACUUUCCAUCCAGGUACUCUAUGCAGUCUUGUUUUGCUUUUGAUAUUAACUAAGUAACUUCCAUGCACUUAAAACUACAUCAGUGUUCAAGUGUAUAGUAGUAAAACACUUCUCUAAAAUAUCAAAUUAGGCUUCAUAGUUGUAGUUACUUCUGCUUUUCAGACUGCAUGUGGGUUUUCACUCAUUUUAAGGGCAAUUGUAGAAUUUAAGAAUAUCUGUAUAAUACUGAAACACUGCACGUCUUAGUUUGAUAACAGUUUUGUUUUUGGGCAAGUUUAAGAGUGAGUGGGGACAAUGGACCUGAGAUUGUGGUAAGGGAAGCUUCAGGAAGAAGUGUCCCCAACCAAAGAACAUCUUAAAGUGAGCAGUUCUUCCUUAUUUUGUUUGCCUACUUCAGUGGAUUGUCCUCCAGUUUUUUUUAACGUAGUAUUGAGAUGGGCCAAAAGUUUACAGAACAAAAUAACUUAGUCUAUUUUGUAUCUGUUUUCCCCACAGCCUGCCUCCAAUCCAAGAUGAUCUUGACACUGAGGGAUGGAACAACCCUUCCACAGGACACAGCUGUGGGAAAUGGGAAGACUCAGUCCUGUCAUGAGGAUACUGAGAUAAGAGAGACUGUUUGACACAUUUUUCAUAAAAACAACUUGUGGUCUAAUCCCACAAAAUAUUUCAGUCUUCAUAAAUAUUUUCAUUUCAGGGGGCCCAUUUUUCCAGCUGUGGAUCAUGGAGUACAGUGAAGAACUAAGAGACCUGAUAUCUUAGAUGUUAAAAGCAGAACC
Monopterus albus (swamp eel) is the source of this 1116-nucleotide long non-coding RNA. RefSeq lists it as uncharacterized. Lineage: Eukaryota; Metazoa; Chordata; Actinopteri; Synbranchiformes; Synbranchidae. The transcript is spliced from 3 exons. The record is from RefSeq and is a predicted model, not a curated record.